GACGAACGCUGGCGGCGUGCCUAAUACAUGCAAGUAGGACGCACAGUUUAUACCGUAGCUUGCUACACCAUAGACUGUGAGUUGCGAACGGGUGAGUAACGCGUAGGUAACCUACCUAUUAGAGGGGGAUAACUAUUGGAAACGAUAGCUAAUACCGCAUAACAGUAUGUAACACAUGUUAGAUGCUUGAAAGAUGCAAUUGCAUCGCUAGUAGAUGGACCUGCGUUGUAUUAGCUAGUAGGUAGGGUAAAGGCCUACCUAGGCAACGAUACAUAGCCGACCUGAGAGGGUGAUCGGCCACACUGGGACUGAGACACGGCCCAGACUCCUACGGGAGGCAGCAGUAGGGAAUCUUCGGCAAUGGGGGGAACCCUGACCGAGCAACGCCGCGUGAGUGAAGAAGGUUUUCGGAUCGUAAAGCUCUGUUGUUAAGGAAGAACGAGUGUGAGAAUGGAAAGUUCAUGCUGGACGUACUGACCAAAAGGCG
This 487-nucleotide ribosomal RNA is filed under the name Streptococcus anginosus. Its description in RNAcentral is "bacterial SSU rRNA". It matches the Rfam family "Bacterial small subunit ribosomal RNA", at positions 28 to 492 of the family's 1533-position model. Lineage: Bacteria; Bacillati; Bacillota; Bacilli; Lactobacillales; Streptococcaceae. The record is from RNAcentral.